This is a small nuclear RNA of Camelus dromedarius (Arabian camel), 107 nucleotides long. Lineage: Eukaryota; Metazoa; Chordata; Mammalia; Artiodactyla; Camelidae. The record is from Ensembl.
GUGCUCACUUUGGCAGCACAUAUACUAAAAUUGGGAUGAUACAGAGAAGACUGGCAUGGCCCCUGGGCAAGGAUGGCCCACAAAUUCAUGAAGCAUUCCAUGUUUUU